ACCCUCCGUAUUUUCCUAAAAUAACUCAGGGUGAUUUUAGGGGUAUUCAUUAUUUUAGGAUUAAGCUCAAUAUCAUUAUUUGCGCAUCAGCACGGACAAACAGAAUUAUCUUAUAAAAAAGCCGAUAUGAAUAUCGGCUUAA
Molecule: small RNA, 142 nt
Filed under: Citrobacter sedlakii
Lineage: Bacteria; Pseudomonadati; Pseudomonadota; Gammaproteobacteria; Enterobacterales; Enterobacteriaceae
Description: Enterobacterial sRNA STnc430
Rfam family: Enterobacterial sRNA STnc430
Source: RNAcentral